GAUCCUGGCUUAGGAUGAACGCUGGCGGCGUGCCUAACACAUGCAAGUCGAGCGUGAACCCUUAGAAUGAAACUUCGGUCGAAUGAAGAGGGGGAAAGCGGCGGACGGGUGAGUAACGCGUAGGCAACCUGCCCCGUACAGAGGGAUAGCCUCGGGAAACCGGGAUUAAAACCUCAUAAUACCAUGGUAUCACAUGAUGCAAUGGUCAAAGAUUUAUCGGUAUGGGAUGGGCCUGCGUCUGAUUAGCUGGUUGGUGGGGUAACGGCCUACCAAGGCAACGAUCAGUAGCCGACCUGAGAGGGUAAUCGGCCACAUUGGAACUGAGACACGGUCCAAACUCCUACGGGAGGCAGCAGUGGGGAAUAUUGCACAAUGGGCGAAAGCCUGAUGCAGCAACGCCGCGUGAGCGAAGAAGGCCUUUGGGUCGUAAAGCUCUGUCGGGAAGGAAGAUAAUGACGGUACUUCCCGAGGAAGCCCCGGCUAACUACGUGCCAGCAGCUGC
Molecule: ribosomal RNA, 502 nt
Filed under: uncultured bacterium
Lineage: Bacteria
Description: bacterial SSU rRNA
Rfam family: Bacterial small subunit ribosomal RNA
Source: RNAcentral